This 274-nucleotide ribosomal RNA is filed under the name uncultured bacterium. RNAcentral describes it as "partial 16S ribosomal RNA". It matches the Rfam family "Bacterial small subunit ribosomal RNA", at positions 523 to 796 of the family's 1533-position model. The record is from RNAcentral.
AUACGGAGGGUGCAAGCGUUACUCGGAAUCACUGGGCGUAAAGCGCGCGCAGGCGGGCUGAUAAGUUGGAUGUGAAAGCCUACGGCUCAACCGUAGAACUGCAUCCAAAACUGUCAGUCUAGAGUGUGGGAGAGGAAGAUGGAAUUAGUUGUGUAGGGGUAAAAUCCGUAGAGAUAACUAGGAAUACCAAAAGCGAAGGCAAUCUUCUGGAACACUUCUGACGCUGAGGCGCGAAGGCGUGGGGAGCAAACAGGAUUAGAUACCCCAGUAGUCC